CUCCCAGAGUGCUAGGAUUACAGGCGUGAGCCACCACGCCAGGCCUUAAGUUCUAUUUCAUGGUUAAUAUCUAUAGCUUUCAUGAGUAUUUGAAAAGUAUAUUGUUUCCAGGGUACUACCGACUUUGGUACUUAUCAAUUAGAUCCAUCUCAUAAAUUAUGCUAUUCAUACCUUUUAUGUUCUUACUUUUUAUCACUUAGCUGACAUGAACCAAGAGAAACAAAUUAAAAUCUUCUAUUAAUUUGUCUGCUUCCUAAUUGUUAUUCAGUGUGUGACCAGUUAUACAAUUAUGAAUUGCUCCCUUUAGCAUUAUAAAGUAUCCUUCUUUGUCUAAUAGGCUUUGUUCUGAUUUCUCUCUUUUUAUAUUAUGCCCUUGCUUUCUUUUUGUUUGCACUUUUCUGGUAUACCUUUGUCUAUCUUUUUUAUUUUCAGCUAACUCACUUUGCUUUAGGUAUAUCUUGUAUACAAGAGUUUGUGAUACCAUUUGAAAGUCUUUUUGUUUCAAUAGGUGAGGUUAGCCAUGUACAUUUAUUUAUUACAUAUAUUAAUAUGACAUAUUUAGGUUUUUCUGUCACAAAUAUACUAGGCUCUUUUUGCAUGUUAAAAAGUCUUCAUGAUGCUGCAUCCAGGUGUGGUGGGCACCUGUAGCUCAGCUACUUGGGAGGCUGAGGUGGGAAGAUUGAGCUCAGGAGUUCGAGUCCAGCCUGGGCAAUAUAGUGUGAUCCCAUGUCUUUUAAAAAAUGGUUUUUGUGGUGAGGGAUGCCACGGAGCCAGGUGGAACUGGCCUGCGGCUCCUGGGGCAGGCCCACCGGCUGGAGACAUGGCCCGGGGGCCCGGCCCGUUAGACCGGCCUCACCCCGGCUCAGUCACCAUGCCCAAGAGAGGAAAGCUAUUCAAAUUCCGGGCCCACGACGCCUGCUCUGGUCCGGUGACUGUGGCAGAUUAUGCCAACUCAGAUCUGGCAGUCAUGAGGUCGGGACGAGUCAAGAAAGCCGUCGCCAAUGCUGUGCAGCAGGAAGUAAAACAUCUUUGUGGCUUAGAAGCUUCCCAGGUUCCUGCAGAGGAAGCUGUCUGGGGCUGGUGAGCCCUGUGACAUCAUCGACAGCAGUGAUGAGAUGGAUGCCCAGGAGGAAAGCAUCCAUGAGAGAACCGUCUCUAGAAAAAAGAAAAGCAAAAGGCACAAAGAAGACCUGGACAGAGCUGAAGGAGAAGAGUAUCCCAUGGAUAUCUGGCUUUUGCUGGCCUUCUACAUCCGUCCUGAGGACAUUGUGAACUUUUCCCUGAUUUGUAAGAAUGCCUGGACUGUCACUUGCACUGCUGCCUUUUGGACCAGGUUGUACUGAAGGCACUGCAUGCUGGAUGCUUCUCUGCCUUUGCGCCUGUGACCAGAAUCAAUGGAGAAGCUGCGCUGUCUCCGGGCAUGUGUGAUCCGAUCCUUGUACCAUAUGUAUGAGCCAUUUGCUGCUCGAAUCUCCAAGAAUCCAGCCAUUCCAGAAAUCACUCCCAGCACAUUAAAGAAUUCCAAAUGCUUACUUUUCUGGUGUAGAAAGAUUGUUGGGAACAGACAAGAACCAAUGUGGGAAUUCAAUUUCAAGUUCAAAAAGCAGUCCCCUAGGUUAAACAGCAAGUGUAUGGGAGGAUUACAGCCUCCCAUUCAGUACGUUCAUACCAACCCAGAUCAGGACUGCUGCCUGCUGCAGGUCACCACCCUCAAUUUCAUAUUUGUUCCAAUUGUCAUGGGAAUGAUAUUUACCCUGUUUACUAUCAAUGUGAGCACGGACAUGCGGCAUCAUCAAGUGAGACUGGUGUUCCAAGAUUCUCCUUUCCAUGGUGGUCGGAAACUGCACAGUGAACAGUGUACAAGUCAUCUUGGACCCAGUGCAGUGUUCUACUAUUCGACUGGUGGCAUCCUCAGUAUCCAUUCUCCCUGAGAGCAUAGUUACUGCUUCCCAUCCCUUGGGGGCAGCCAUGAGUCUAGUCCAUCCAUUAGUAAUCAGAUUCCAGUUUGAAAGGGGCAGCUGGAUUAUAUAUCUGAUUAGUAAUGUACAUGCUCAGAUUGCUGGGGCUCCUGUUAGGAGAGGGAGAAGUGUUGAAUCAAGAAGAAAAACAACUAUGAUCUAUAAACAUAUUUUAAUGUAAAAUUUGCAUUUGAA
Molecule: non-coding RNA, 2153 nt
Organism: Microcebus murinus (gray mouse lemur)
Lineage: Eukaryota; Metazoa; Chordata; Mammalia; Primates; Cheirogaleidae
Source: RefSeq, a predicted model, not a curated record